AUUGAACGCUGGCGGCAGGCCUAACACAUGCAAGUCGAGCGGAUGAAGGGAGCUUGCUCCUGGAUUCAGCGGCGGACGGGUGAGUAAUGCCUAGGAAUCUGCCUGGUAGUGGGGGAUAACGUCCGGAAACGGGCGCUAAUACCGCAUACGUCCUGAGGGAGAAAGUGGGGGAUCUUCGGACCUCACGCUAUCAGAUAAGCCUAGGUCGGAUUAGCUAGUUGGUGGGGUAAAGGCCUACCAAGGCGACGAUCCGUAACUGGUCUGAGAGGAUGAUCAGUCACAAUGGAACUGAGACACGGUCCAGAAUCCUACGGGAGGCAGCAGUGGGGAAUAUUGGACAAUGGGCGAAAGCCUGAUCCAGCCAUGCCGCGUGUGUGAAGAAGGUCUUCGGAUUGUAAAGCACUUUAAGUUGGGAGGAAGGGCAGUAAGUUAAUACCUUGCUGUUUUGACGUUACCAACAGAAUAAGCACCGGCUAACUUCGUG
RNAcentral lists this ribosomal RNA (484 nucleotides) under uncultured bacterium. RNAcentral describes it as "partial 16S ribosomal RNA". It matches the Rfam family "Bacterial small subunit ribosomal RNA", at positions 30 to 507 of the family's 1533-position model. The record is from RNAcentral.